CUACGUGCCAGCAGCCGCGGUAAUACGUAGGGUGCGAGCGUUAAUCGGAAUUACUGGGCGUAAAGCGAGCGCAGACGGUUACUUAAGCAGGAUGUGAAAUCCCCGGGCUCAACCUGGGAACUGCGUUCUGAACUGGGUGACUAGAGUGUGUCAGAGGGAGGUAGAAUUCCACGUGUAGCAGUGAAAUGCGUAGAGAUGUGGAGGAAUACCGAUGGCGAAGGCAGCCUCCUGGGAUAACACUGACGUUCAUGCUCGAAAGCGUGGGUAGCAAACAGGAUUAGAUACCCUGGUAGUCCACGCCGUAAACGAUGAGUGCUAAGUGUUGGAGGGUUUCCGCCCUUCAGUGCUGCAGUUAACGCAUUAAGCACUCCGCCUGGGGAGUACGACCGCAAGGUUGAAACUCAAAGGAAUUGACGGGGACCCGCACAAGCGGUGGAUGAUGUGGAUUAAUUCGAUGCAACGCGAAGAACCUUACCUGGUCUUGACAU
Molecule: ribosomal RNA, 488 nt
Filed under: uncultured bacterium
Lineage: Bacteria
Description: bacterial SSU rRNA
Rfam family: Bacterial small subunit ribosomal RNA
Source: RNAcentral